This is a long non-coding RNA of Bos indicus x Bos taurus (hybrid cattle), 465 nucleotides long. Lineage: Eukaryota; Metazoa; Chordata; Mammalia; Artiodactyla; Bovidae. The record is from Ensembl.
UUUGUGGCCCCAUGGACUGUAGCCCACCAGGCUCCUCUGUCCAUGGGAUUUCCCAGCCAAGAAUACUGAAGUGGGUUGCCAUUUCCUUCUCCAGGGGAUCUUCCUGACCUGCGAUUGAACCUGCGUCUCCUUCAUUGUCAGGUGGAUUCAUUACCGCUGAGCCACCAGAGAAGUUCUGGGAACAGAUGGAACUAUCCCAGAAGGGAAUUCUACAAGGAUUUCCUCUUAAGCAAUUUCUUCCUCACAUGGACCUACCUCCCAACUUCAAUUCUUACAUCAUUUCACCACCAGUUCAGAGUGGGGAGAACAAAUGACAAUGGAGAUUAAAAAGGAGAGAAGAGAAGAGAAAUUGGGUUUGGGGAGAGAUACAAUUGAACCCAUAACAGGAGGGAUGGUUCUUCCUGCUAAUGGACCAGAAUAGAAUUGGUGCCACCUGCUAUCCAAUGAGUAAAGCUUAUAUUUCUU